Molecule: ribosomal RNA, 461 nt
Filed under: uncultured Clostridium sp.
Lineage: Bacteria; Bacillati; Bacillota; Clostridia; Eubacteriales; Clostridiaceae
Description: bacterial SSU rRNA
Rfam family: Bacterial small subunit ribosomal RNA
Source: RNAcentral
GGACGAACGCUGGCGGCGUGCCUAACACAUGCAAGUCGAACGAAGUAUGUUUUUCGGAAUAUACUUAGUGGCGGACGGGUGAGUAACGCGUGAACAAUCUGCCCUGUACAGAGGAAUAGCCUCGGGAAACCGGGAUUAAAACCGCAUAAAACUAUAGUAUCGCAUGAUACAUUAGUCAAAUUGAUUAAGAGGUAUAGGAUGAGUUCGCGUCUGAUUAGCUAGUUGGUGGGGUAAAGGCCUACCAAGGCGACGAUCAGUAGCCGGCCUGAGAGGGUGAACGGCCACACUGGAACUGAGACACGGUCCAGACUCCUACGGGAGGCAGCAGUGGGGAAUAUUGCACAAUGGAGGAAACUCUGAUGCAGCGACGCCGCGUGAGUGAAGAAGGUCUUCGGAUCGUAAAACUCUGUCCUUGGUGAAGAUAAUGACGGUAGCCAAGGAGGAAGCCCCGGCUAACUACG